Molecule: long non-coding RNA, 375 nt
Filed under: Malus domestica (apple)
Lineage: Eukaryota; Viridiplantae; Streptophyta; Magnoliopsida; Rosales; Rosaceae
Description: long non-coding RNA (MDOM_LNC001126)
Source: RNAcentral
CUCUGGACUAGUCCGAUGAAUACAACGGCAUAAGAACUCAUGUGCUCUUGGCUAAAAGCAGAAAGGCUAUCUCUUUCAGCUUGUUACCAGAUUUCCCAUCAAACAACUCGGAUUUAUUGUAAACAGAAAUAGUUAACAAAUGAAAUCAGACACUUAAUAUUGCAACUGACAAACAAGCCUUGAUUUUAUGAUCAAACAUUCAAGUUACCCAAAAGAAUACAGGAGAGAGAGAUAGAGAGAGAGACCUGAGGACCACCAAGUUCAUGAACUCGAAUGGCUUUCACCAUCUUUGUUCGCGAUACUGCUUGAUUUCUGGGUACGAACUACUUUCCGGUCAAAAGUGUGAUUUCUUGGUAUUUAUCCCUUAAUAAUUAG